UAAUACAGAGGGUGCGAGCGUUGUCCGGAAUCACUGGGCGUAAAGGGCGCGUAGGCGGUCUGCUAAGCGUGUGGUGAAAGCCCGGGGCUCAACCCCGGGUCGGCCGUGCGAACUGGCGGACUGGAGCUUGUCAGAGGCAGGCGGAAUUCCGGGUGUAGCGGUGGAAUGCGUAGAGAUCCGGAAGAACACCGGUGGCGAAGGCGGCCUGCUGGGAC
RNAcentral lists this ribosomal RNA (215 nucleotides) under uncultured bacterium. RNAcentral describes it as "partial 16S ribosomal RNA". It matches the Rfam family "Bacterial small subunit ribosomal RNA", at positions 521 to 735 of the family's 1533-position model. The record is from RNAcentral.